This 119-nucleotide ribosomal RNA is filed under the name Cephalotus follicularis. Lineage: Eukaryota; Viridiplantae; Streptophyta; Magnoliopsida; Oxalidales; Cephalotaceae. The record is from RNAcentral.
CAGUGCGAUCAUACCAGCACUAAUGCACCGGAUCCCAUCAGAACACUGGAGUUAAGCGUGCUUGGGCGAGAGUAGUACUGGGAUGGGUGACCUCCUGGGAAGUCCACGUGUUGCACCAC